UGGGAGAGUUAGGCGGUCGCGUCGGUUUGCAAGAACCGAUGAGGAACGUCCGGCCACCAGUGGAGAAAGUGCCCGGUAACACCGGGGCAGGGUAACCUGACGGAAAGGGCAACAGAAAAGAAACCGCCAUUGUUCGAGCUAGUAAACCAUUGGUUUGCUAUGUCGAUUUGGUAAGGGUGAAACGGUGAGGUAAGAGCUCACCGCCCGUCCAGUAAUGGUACGGGGCAGUGCAACCCCCACUUGGUGCAACAUCAAGCAGGUAUGUCGCCUCUCUGAGGCGAAUGGCUCCACCAUUUCCUAUCGGAAUCAUACCGGGUAGAUGGCUUGAGACGGUUGGCAACAACCGCCCUAGAGGAAUGAUCGCCCACGACAGAAGCCGGCGUAUCGAUUCUCCCUGAAU
RNAcentral lists this RNase P RNA (400 nucleotides) under bacterium. Its description in RNAcentral is "RNase P RNA component class A". It matches the Rfam family "Bacterial RNase P class A". From Rfam's summary of the family: Ribonuclease P (RNase P) is a ubiquitous endoribonuclease, found in archaea, bacteria and eukarya as well as chloroplasts and mitochondria. The record is from RNAcentral.